Molecule: ribosomal RNA, 253 nt
Filed under: uncultured bacterium
Lineage: Bacteria
Description: partial 16S ribosomal RNA
Rfam family: Bacterial small subunit ribosomal RNA
Source: RNAcentral
UACGUAGGGGGCAAGCGUUGUCCGGAUUCAUUGGGCGUAAAGAGCGUGUAGGCGGCCAGGUAGGUCGGUUGUGAAAACUGGAGGCUCAACCUUCAGAGGUCGACCGAAACCAUCUGGCUAGAGUCCGGGAGAGGAGAGUGGAAUUCCUGGUGUAGCGGUGAAAUGCGCAGAUAUCAGGAAGAACACCCGUGGCGAAAGCGGCUCUCUGGAACGGUACUGACACUGAGGCGCGAAAGCGUGGGGAGCGAACAGG